AGUGAACGCUGGCGGUAGGCCUAACACAUGCGAGUCGAACGGCAGCACAGUAAGAGCUUGCUCUUACGGGUGGCGAGUGGCGGACGGGUUAGGAAUACAUCGGAAUCUACUUUUUCGUGGGGGAUAACGUAGGGAAACUUACGCUAAUACCGCAUACGACCUACGGGUGAAAGCAGGGGAUCUUCGGACCUUGCGCGAUUGAAUGAGCCGAUGUCGGAUUAGCUAGUUGGCGGGGUAAAGGCCCACCAAGGCGACGAUCCGUAGCUGGUCUGAGAGGAUGAUCAGCCACACUGGAUCUGAGACACGGUCCAGACUCCUACGGGAGGCAGCAGUGGGGAAUAUUGGACAAUGGGCGCAAGCCUGAUCCAGCCAUACCGCGUGGGUGAAGAAGGCCUUCGGGUUGUAAAGCCCUUUUGUUGGGAAAGAAAAGCAGCAGGUUAAUACCCCGCUGUUCUGACGGUACCCAAAGAAUAAGCACCGGCUAACUUCGUG
This 492-nucleotide ribosomal RNA is filed under the name uncultured bacterium. RNAcentral's name for it is "partial 16S ribosomal RNA". It matches the Rfam family "Bacterial small subunit ribosomal RNA", at positions 29 to 507 of the family's 1533-position model. The record is from RNAcentral.